Molecule: long non-coding RNA, 249 nt
Filed under: Lathyrus oleraceus (garden pea)
Lineage: Eukaryota; Viridiplantae; Streptophyta; Magnoliopsida; Fabales; Fabaceae
Description: Pisum sativum (pea) long non-coding RNA (PSAT_LNC013839)
Source: RNAcentral
CUUCAAUCUUCAGCCGCCGCCGUUCCUCAUCGCAAACCCUUUCCGUCGCAACUCACGAAAUCACAACCCUCAAGACCCUCCACCGCUCUCCUCCGCGAUCCUUUUCCUCCACCGCCAAACCCUUAAAGCCAAAACCCAUUUCGCACCGUUGACGCCAUCACUGUUCUUCCUUUCAGAAUAGCCAGCCCAAAUCUCCUUUGCGACAACAACGAUGCAUCAUCUUCAUAUUAACCCUUUUUGAUGUUUUCA